RNAcentral lists this ribosomal RNA (497 nucleotides) under uncultured bacterium. RNAcentral describes it as "partial 16S ribosomal RNA". It matches the Rfam family "Bacterial small subunit ribosomal RNA", at positions 28 to 507 of the family's 1533-position model. The record is from RNAcentral.
GAUGAACGCUGGCGGCGUGCCUAAUACAUGCAAGUCGAGCGAACAGACGAGGAGCUUGCUCUUCUGACGUUAGCGGCGGACGGGUGAGUAACACGUGGAUAACCUACCUAUAAGACUGGGACAACUUCGGGAAACCGGAGCUAAUACCGGAUAAUAUAUUGAACCGCAUGGUUCAAUAGUGAAAGACGGUCUUGCUGUCACUUAUAGAUGGAUCCGCGCUGCAUUAGCUAGUUGGUAAGGUAACGGCUUACCAAGGCAACGAUGCGUAGCCGACCUGAGAGGGUGAUCGGCCACACUGGAACUGAGACACGGUCCAGACUCCUACGGGAGGCAGCAGUAGGGAAUCUUCCGCAAUGGGCGAAAGCCUGACGGAGCAACGCCGCGUGAGUGAUGAAGGUCUUCGGAUCGUAAAACUCUGUUAUUAGGGAAGAACAAAUGUGUAAGUAACUAUGCACGUCUUGACGGUACCUAAUCAGAAAGCCACGGCUAACUACGUG